GCCCGCGUAGCUCAGGGGAUAGAGCGUCGGUUUCCUAAACCGUGCGUCGCAGGUUCGAAUCCUGCCGUGGGCA
This 73-nucleotide transfer RNA is filed under the name Microthrixaceae bacterium. RNAcentral describes it as "tRNA-Arg". It matches the Rfam family "tRNA". Rfam says of the family: Transfer RNA (tRNA) molecules are approximately 80 nucleotides in length. Their secondary structure includes four short double-helical elements and three loops (D, anti-codon, and T loops). Further hydrogen bonds mediate the characteristic L-shaped molecular structure. tRNAs have two regions of fundamental functional importance: the anti-codon, which is responsible for specific mRNA codon recognition, and the 3' end, to which the tRNAs corresponding amino acid is attached (by aminoacyl-tRNA synthetases). tRNAs cope with the degeneracy of the genetic code in two manners: having more than one tRNA (with a specific anti-codon) for a particular amino acid; and 'wobble' base-pairing, i.e. permitting non-standard base-pairing at the 3rd anti-codon position. The record is from RNAcentral. RNAcentral also lists the same sequence under 1 other name. Lineage: Bacteria; Bacillati; Actinomycetota; Acidimicrobiia; Acidimicrobiales; Microthrixaceae.